AACUCUUGGUGCCUCAAGAGCAGCCUGCAAGUAUUAGAGGAAAAAAUGAACAACCAUUUACUAGCUACACAAAGUAAACCAGCAGUAGAAGCAGCAGUCAUGGCAAUAAAAGAUCUCAUUUUUAAGAAGAAACACCAUUCUCUAGGAAAAGAAACAACAUUCUUUUUCAUGCAAUUUAGGGGAAAAAGGAAAGGCACAUGAAAUUAUAUGCAAGAAAAAGGAAUGAAUGCUAGACUUACUAGGCAUAACAAGCUAAAUCGCA
This 262-nucleotide unclassified non-coding RNA is filed under the name Hevea brasiliensis (rubber tree). Lineage: Eukaryota; Viridiplantae; Streptophyta; Magnoliopsida; Malpighiales; Euphorbiaceae. The record is from RNAcentral.